Molecule: ribosomal RNA, 253 nt
Filed under: uncultured bacterium
Lineage: Bacteria
Description: partial 16S ribosomal RNA
Rfam family: Bacterial small subunit ribosomal RNA
Source: RNAcentral
UACGUAGGGUGCAAGCGUUAAUCGGAAUUACUGGGCGUAAAGCGUGCGCAGGCGGUUUUGUAAGUCAGAUGUGAAGUCCCCGGGCUUAACCUGGGAACUGCGUUUGAAACUACAAGGCUAGAGUGUGGCAGAGGGGGGUGGAAUUCCACGUGUAGCAGUGAAAUGCGUAGAGAUGUGGAGGAACACCGAUGGCGAAGGCAGCCCCCUGGGUUAACACUGACGCUCAGGCACGAAAGCGUGGGGAGCAAACAGG